Molecule: non-coding RNA, 1800 nt
Organism: Taeniopygia guttata (zebra finch)
Lineage: Eukaryota; Metazoa; Chordata; Aves; Passeriformes; Estrildidae
Source: RefSeq, a predicted model, not a curated record
GCUGCUAAAAGACACAAGUACCCUGACAGCGCAGGGAGGCCAGAAGAGCUGCAUCAAGUUUCCAGGCUCCAAGCUGCCUCUGCUGAGCAGCCAAAGCCUCCCACAUGACUAAAACAUGGGAUCUGCACUGUAGAGGUCUGAAGUCAAGUGAAACCUCAUCCCAAAUAUCCUUUUGUACCUCUAUCUAUUCUGGGACAAGGAGUCAACAUGGUUUCUCACAUGGACACUUCCAGGCAGUAAAUCAGGUAUGUCAGUGAUCAUACAAUGCACACCAACUGGAGAAAAAAGAUCCAGAGUAUGUAAUGGCUUCUCAUUCUUCAUUUUGAUGUUUCUCCAAUGACUGUCAGAAACUCUAUAGACAUUAAAUUGGACUUUGGAACAGAUUUUAAGAACAAGGCAGAUGUAAAGGCUAUAUCAUGCUCUCAAAUUCUUCAUUACAGAAAGGAAGAUUGUGCAUGGGUUCCCCGCUCUCCCCCUGCAAUUCAGGCCAGCUGAGUUACCUGCAUUUGGGAAGACUGGAGUCAGCACCCCUGAAGUGCAAGGAAAGACAGUCCCUGGGAAAAUAAUUCUCCAGAUCAUGAGGUCUCACAACCAUGUUUCCAUACUGUAACUUCAGAGAGAUGAACAAGACAAGUUUAUCAGCAGCUCAGACUUGCAGUCACUGCUCCCCAAUAGAGAGCACCUAAGAAAGCUCCCCCCUCCGCAAUGAAAACAGCUGCCUGAGAAGGGCAAGAAGCCCCACAUGAAUGCAUCCCUGCAGUAGGAAUGUGACAAGCCAGUUCACAGGCUGUGCUGCUGAUCUUCCUGGAGCUUUCCUUGGGUGAAGCAUUGGAGAGCAUGGGCUGUUCUGCCAUGCAGUUCUGUCUCUGAGACAAGCUGGCAAAGAGAGGCAUGCAUUUCUACUUAUAAGAUGCAUACUUUUGCCAGGUAUUAUCUUUACACCUUUUUUCUUUCCCUUUAUUUUAAUCCAGUCAGAAUUUCCAUAGACACCACUUACAUAAUUUCCCUGCUUAUCAGCUUGACAUCUUAAUUGCAGAAACUGCACCAACAGGGAAAAGCUGCUAGAUAGCAGACACCAAUGCCAAAUCAGGUGAAAACAAGUAAUCAUAUUACUGAGGAAGACUAAAGUGGUGAAAAUAUGCCCUUCUCGAAAUUCAAGUUUAAACGAGACAUAUUUCCAGACUGACUGAAGUGACUGAAUUCUCUUGCCAGAUAGACAGCUUUGAUCCAGUCUUCCAGUAAAAAAAAAAAACCAAAAAAACCAAAACUAAAAAACAGUGCAGGGUAGAAACAUUAAUGUCAUGAAGGCUGUAUGAUUCAGAAAGGUGUGUUAAAGCCUUACUUCAGGGCAGCUGCUUGGCCCUGGUUCUGCUGCAGUGUACUUUCCUGUGCACUCACACACAGUCUAACAGAAGCCUGGACGUCAAAGAAAUGGACCAAGAAUUUUCCAACAGAAGAGUGGGCUGUAAUCCUGUAAGGGACUACUGUGUUCAUCAGGAUGCUCCAGUCUGGUUUAGUGGGAAAUUAGAAUGGCAAUCAUUUUCCCAUUCAAAGUAGCAUAAUCCCAUUUUUAAUGUGCACUUUAAAUCUGCAAGGCUUAGAAUAGAUAUUGUCUCUGUUUUAUGGGAGCUGAUGCUGGCAUUAAUAUCUCUCAGUGCCCUAUGCCUUUCUCUAAAAGAAAAUUUCUGUGUAAAAGAUUCUUGUUUUAAUAAACAAUCAAAUGUUUGAUUUGUGUAAAAGAUUCUUCUAAUAAAGAUCUUCUUAUAAAAGAUUAUUGUUCUAAUAAAGAUCAAAUAAUUU